Molecule: ribosomal RNA, 492 nt
Filed under: uncultured bacterium
Lineage: Bacteria
Description: partial 16S ribosomal RNA
Rfam family: Bacterial small subunit ribosomal RNA
Source: RNAcentral
AGUGAACGCUGGCGGUAGGCCUAACAUAUGCAAGUCGAACGGCAGCACAGUAAGAGCUUGCUCUUACGGGUGGCGAGUGGCGGACGGGUGAGGAAUACAUCGGAAUCUACUUUUUCGUGGGGGAUAACGUAGGGAAACUUACGCUAAUACCGCAUACGACAUACGGGUGAAAGCAGGGGAUCUUCGGACCUUGCGCGAUUGAAUGAGCCGAUGUCGGAUUAGCUAGUUGGCGGGGUAAAGGCCCACCAAGGCGACGAUCCGUAGCUGGUCUGAGAGGAUGAUCAGCCACACUGGAACUGAGACACGGUCCAGACUCCUACGGGAGGCAGCAGUGGGGAAUAUUGGACAAUGGGCGCAAGCCUGAUCCAGCCAUACCGCGUGGGUGAAGAAGGCCUUCGGGUUGUAAAGCCCUUUUGUUGGGAAAGAAAAGCAGCAGGUUAAUACCCCGCUGUUCUGACGGUACCCAAAGAAUAAGCACCGGCUAACUUCGUG